CCUACGGGAGGCAGCAGUGAGGAAUAUUGGUCAAUGGACGCAAGUCUGAACCAGCCAUGCCGCGUGCAGGAUGACGGCUCUAUGAGUUGUAAACUUCUUUUGUACGGGGGUAAACGCAGAUACGCGUAUCUGUCUGAGAGUAUCGUACGAAAAAGCAUCGGCUAACUCCGUGCCAGCAGCCGCGGUAAUACGGAGGAUUCAAGCGUUAUCCGGAUUUAUUGGGUUUAAAGGGUGCGUAGGCGGUCUGAUAAGUUCGAGGUGAAAUCCCGGGGCUCAACUUCGGAAUUGCCUCUGAUACUGUUCGGCUAGAGAGUAGGUGAGGUAGGCGGAAUGUGUGGUGUAGCGGUGAAAUGCUUAGAGAUCAUACAGAACACCGAUUGCGAAGGCAGCUUACCAAGCUACUUCUGACGUUGAGGCACGAAAGCGUGGGGAGCAAACAGGAUUAGAUACCCUUGUAGUC
This 460-nucleotide ribosomal RNA is filed under the name uncultured bacterium. RNAcentral's name for it is "partial 16S ribosomal RNA". It matches the Rfam family "Bacterial small subunit ribosomal RNA", at positions 338 to 795 of the family's 1533-position model. The record is from RNAcentral.